CGGCGCCUGGACGACGGCGCGUUCUCGCUGCUCUUCGGCGGCGGCGCGGCGGGCUUCGCGGCGCUCGCCGCGUCGAGCGCGGUC
Molecule: transfer RNA, 84 nt
Filed under: Polymorphospora rubra
Lineage: Bacteria; Bacillati; Actinomycetota; Actinomycetes; Micromonosporales; Micromonosporaceae
Description: tRNA-Arg
Source: RNAcentral